UCACCCGCCAGAGAAUUACAGGUAAACAACUUAAAACUCAAAAGACUUGACAGUAUCUCACACCAACCUAGAGGAGCCUGUCCUACAACCGAUAAUCCACGAUUUACCUCACCCACCUUUGCAGUAACAGCCUAUAUACCUCCGUCGCCAGCCCGCCUGACAACAGCAUUGAAAGCGGGUGUAAUAGCUUCGCCACUUAUACGACAGGUCAAGGUGUAGCUAAUAGGUCGGGCAGAGAUGGGCUACAUUUUCUACCCUAGAACACACCUAUAAUGCCAUGAAAGAGGCACUGAAAGGUGGAUUUAGCAGUAAGAGGGGCAAGACCAAGCCCCCCUGAAGUUUGCUCUGAGAUGUGUACACACCGCCCGUCACCCUCCUCAACAACAACCUUAAACUUAACUAAAAUCUUAUUUACCCCCAAGAUGAGGUAAGUCGUAACAUGGUAAGCGUACUGGAAAGUGCGCUUGGAAAACCUCAGCGGUAGCUUAAACCCAAAGCAUUAGGCUUACAACCAAACCAUGCCACCACCUGGCCCCUGAGCGCCCCACGCUAGCCCAAUAAGACGCUACAAAACUAAACUUAAACAAACAACCAUUUGUCCC
RNAcentral lists this ribosomal RNA (602 nucleotides) under Uroplatus alluaudi. RNAcentral's name for it is "partial 12S ribosomal RNA". The stretch from base 1 to 480 matches the Rfam family "Bacterial small subunit ribosomal RNA", at positions 865 to 1533 of the family's 1533-position model. The record is from RNAcentral. Lineage: Eukaryota; Metazoa; Chordata; Lepidosauria; Squamata; Gekkonidae.